AUGAACGCUGGCGGCGUGCCUAAUACAUGCAAGUCGCGCGAACAGACGAGGAGCUUGCUCCUCUGACGUUAGCGGCGGACGGGUGAGUAACACGUGGAUAACCUACCUAUAAGACUGGGAUAACUUCGGGAAACCGGAGCUAAUACCGGAUAAUAUAUUGAACCGCAUGGUUCAAUAGUGAAAGACGGUUUUGCUGUCACUUAUAGAUGGAUCCGCGCCGCAUUAGCUAGUUGGUAAGGUAACGGCUUACCAAGGCAACGAUGCGUAGCCGACCUGAGAGGGUGAUCGGCCACACUGGAACUGAGACACGGUCCAGACUCCUACGGGAGGCAGCAGUAGGGAAUCUUCCGCAAUGGGUGAAAGCUUGACGGAGCAACGCCGCGUGAGUGAUGAAGGUCUUCGGAUCGUAAAACUCUGUUAUUAGGGAAGAACAAAUGUGUAAGUAACUAUGCACGUCUUGACGGUACCUAAUCAGAAAGCCACGGCUAACUACGUG
This 496-nucleotide ribosomal RNA is filed under the name uncultured bacterium. RNAcentral describes it as "partial 16S ribosomal RNA". It matches the Rfam family "Bacterial small subunit ribosomal RNA", at positions 29 to 507 of the family's 1533-position model. The record is from RNAcentral.